GAGGAAUAUUGGACAAUGGGUGCAAGCCUGAUCCAGCCAUCCCGCGUGAAGGAUUAAGGACCUAUGGUUUGUAAACUUCUUUUGUACAGGGAUAAACCAUUCUACGUGUAGAAUGCUGAAGGUACUGUACGAAUAAGCACCGGCUAACUCCGUGCCAGCAGCCGCGGUAAUACGGAGGGUGCAAGCGUUAUCCGGAUUUAUUGGGUUUAAAGGGUCCGUAGGCGGAUGUGUAAGUCAGUGGUGAAAUCUCACAGCUUAACUGUGAAACUGCCAUUGAUACUGCAUGUCUUGAGUGUUGUUGAAGUAGCUGGAAUAAGUAGUGUAGCGGUGAAAUGCAUAGAUAUUACUUAGAACACCAAUUGCGAAGGCAGGUUACUAAGCAACAACUGACGCUGAUGGACGAAAGCGUGGGGAGCGAACA
Molecule: ribosomal RNA, 421 nt
Filed under: uncultured Chryseobacterium sp.
Lineage: Bacteria; Pseudomonadati; Bacteroidota; Flavobacteriia; Flavobacteriales; Weeksellaceae
Description: bacterial SSU rRNA
Rfam family: Bacterial small subunit ribosomal RNA
Source: RNAcentral